UGGUGGGGUGACUGCGUACCUUUUGUAUAAUGGGUCAGCGACUUAUAUUCUGUAGCAAGGUUAACCGAAUAGGGGAGCCGGAGGGAAACCGAGUCUUAAUUGGGCGUUAAGUUGCAGGGUAUAGACCCGAAACCCGGUGAUCUAGCCAUGGGCAGGUUGAAGGUUGGGUAACACUAACUGGAGGACCGAACCGACUAAUGUUGAAAAAUUAGCGGAUGACCUGUGGCUGGGGGUGAAAGGCCAAUCAAACCGGGAGAUAGCUGGUUCUCCCCGAAAGCUAUUUAGGUAGCGCCUCGUGAAUUCAUCUCCGGGGGUAGAGCACUGUUUCGGCUAGGGGGCCAUCCCGGCUUACCAACCCGAUGCAAACUGCGAAUACCGGAGAAUGUUAUCACGGGAGACACACGGCGGGUGCUAACGUCCGUCGUGAAGAGGGAAACAACCCAGACCGCCAGCUAAGGUCCCAAAGUCAUGGUUAAGUGGGAAACGAUGUGGGAAGGCCCAGACAGCCAGGAUGUUGGCUUAGAAGCAGCCAUCAUUUAAAGAAAGCGUAAUAGCUCACUGGUCGAGUCGGCCUGCGCGGAAGAUGUAACGGGGCUAAACCAUGCACCGAAGCUGCGGCAGCGACGCUGAUGCGUUGUUGGGUAGGGGAGCG
Molecule: ribosomal RNA, 652 nt
Filed under: Salmonella enterica
Lineage: Bacteria; Pseudomonadati; Pseudomonadota; Gammaproteobacteria; Enterobacterales; Enterobacteriaceae
Description: partial 23S ribosomal RNA
Rfam family: Bacterial large subunit ribosomal RNA
Source: RNAcentral